This 69-nucleotide transfer RNA is filed under the name Onthophagus vacca. Its description in RNAcentral is "tRNA-Arg". Lineage: Eukaryota; Metazoa; Arthropoda; Insecta; Coleoptera; Scarabaeidae. The record is from RNAcentral.
AAAUAAGAAACAAAAAAUUGUAUUUAGUUUCGACCUAAAAUUUUGAUGUUACAUAUACAUCCUUAUUUA